GGUGGCUAAAUAAAUAAAAACACUGAACAUUAAUUGUUCAAUACCUGAUGAAAGGGUUUAGAACAUAGGCAUUUUGUGCAUAUCUGUCCAAGAUAUGAAUGUAAAUUAGUUUACCUUAAAAAAUCUUCCUGAUGACAUUAUUUAGGUUAGUAGGGUUACCUUUAGGCAGGUAACCCUAGUGUGUGGUGCAUAAUCAAAUAAUCAUGUUGAAGGUGAUCACCUUCACAGAAGGCUGAAAUCAUUUCUAAUUAUGGAGUUUAUGUUAUUUUUGUUAAUAACAUGCGAUUAAUCGCUAAAAGUGUUAAUUGUUAGAAAUAGUAAGAUUAUACUUCAAGCAAUUUUUCAAGACAACAAAAUUAUUUUCUCUUACUUUGGCUAAUCAUUUUAGCACAAUAUAAACUAUUUUGUAUUUGUUUUUAUAUUAAUUAGAUAAUUAAAUAUAGUUCUGAUGUUCAAUUUACUCAUAAGUAUAAUAUUAUUGAAUUUACAUGUAGGGAGAACAAUAUGAUCAUCUUCUACAUUUACUGCAAGAUAAACUACAGAAGCAAGAAACACGUUUUAGGAAAUCAAUUUCAGCGUCUGAGAGACUUGCCAUCUGUUUAAGAUUUCUAGCAUCUGGAACUAAUUAUACAGACCUGGCAUACACUUUCCGUGUUUCUAAAUCUUCAGUUUCACAUAUUAUUCGAGAGACCUGUGAUGUCAUAUGGCAAGUCUUACAGCCACUGGUUAUGGCUAUACCAGCAUCAUCAGAUGAAUGGGCUGUAAUAGCAGAAGGUUUUGAAUAUAAAUGGAAUUUUCCCAACUGUGUUGGUGCAAUCGAUGGUAAGCAUAUCAGAAUACAAGCUCCACCGUCAGCUGGAA
This is a long non-coding RNA of Stegodyphus dumicola, 861 nucleotides long. Lineage: Eukaryota; Metazoa; Arthropoda; Arachnida; Araneae; Eresidae. The record is from RefSeq and is a predicted model, not a curated record.